GAAUUGGGUGGAUCAGCCAUGCGAGUUGAUGGGAUACCUAAAUUUCCCAUAGCGAACUGCUCAGUAACACAUGAUCAACUUAACCUAUAGAGAAAAAUAACCUCGGGAAACUGAGGAUAAUGUUUCAUAGUUGAAUUGGCUUGGAAAAGCUUUUCAACAAAAGGAAUAAGAUAAAUGGAUCUUAUUUGCUGUAGGAUAGGAUCGUGUUCGAUUAUGGUUGUUGGUGAGGUAAUGGCUCACCAAGCCGAUAAUCGAUAGGGGCCGUGAGAGCGGGAGCCCCGAGAUGGGUACUGAGACAACGACCCAGGCCUUACGAGGCGCAGCAGGCGCGGAACCUCCGCAAUACACGAAAGUGUGACGGGGUUACCCAAAGUGUUCAAUUUUGAACUGUGGUAGGUGAGUAAUGUUCCCUACUAGAAAGGAGAGGGCAAGGCUGGUGCCAGCCGCCGCGGUAAAACCAGCUCCUCAAGUGGUCGGGAUAAUUAUUGGGCUUAAAGUGUCCGUAGCUGGUUUAGAAAGUUCCUGGUAAAAUCGGGUAGCUUAACUAUCUGUAUGCUAGGAAUACUACUAUACUAGAGGGCGGGAGAGGUCUGAGGUACUACAGGGGUAGGGGUGAAAUCUUAUAAUCCUUGUAGGACCACCAGUGGCGAAGGCGUCAGACUGGAACGCGCCUGACAGUGAGGGACGAAAGCCAGGGGAGCGAACCGGAUUAGAUACCCGGGUAGUCCUGGCCGUAAACGAUGCAUACUAGGUGAUGGUACGGCCAUGAGCCGUAUCAGUGCCGUAGGGAAACCGUUAAGUGUGCCGCCUGGGAAGUACGGUCGCAAGGCUAAAACUUAAAGGAAUUGGCGGGGGAGCACCACAAUGGGUGAAGCCUGCGGUUCAAUUGGAGUCAACGCCGGA
RNAcentral lists this ribosomal RNA (903 nucleotides) under uncultured archaeon. Its description in RNAcentral is "bacterial SSU rRNA". It matches the Rfam family "Archaeal small subunit ribosomal RNA", at positions 31 to 922 of the family's 1478-position model. The record is from RNAcentral.